Long non-coding RNA from Chenopodium quinoa (quinoa), 1288 nucleotides. RefSeq lists it as uncharacterized. The transcript has 3 exons. NCBI's taxonomy places the organism in Eukaryota, Viridiplantae, Streptophyta, Magnoliopsida, Caryophyllales, Amaranthaceae. The record is from RefSeq and is a predicted model, not a curated record.
UCCCACUUCCUAAGAGUGUCAAGCAUAUUCACAACAUGUUUUAACGUAGGCGCACUUCAAACGACGCCUACAAAGCAUAUCAUACAAAUGUCAAUAGUGAUUUAGUUUUGUACUUUUAAUGUAUGAAGAGUAUGACUUUCUUAAGGAGGAUAUAGGCCUCGAUCGACUAACAGGGUUAAUUCAGUUAAAUAGUUGAUUAGUGUUUGUAUCAUAGACUAGGAUUAGACUAAGUCGAUACACUUAAUCACAAGUGCCUAAGUAACCAUCUAAGCUUAAAGAAAGUAACAAUAUGAGCUGUUUUAACUGAUAACAUGUAUUGAAAUUUCGAAUGUAUUGCAGGUUUGGGUACCAACAAAUCCACCAGGAGCUGAAAGAUUACCCCUGGAAUUGUUGUAUCUGAGACUGAUUUUUAUGAACACAAACUCUGGGGUCUUCCUGAAGAGGACCUGAGUAGCAAACCAAAGUACCUCAUUGCCUUUACAGUAGGCUAUGAUCUAAGAUACAAUGGCCAUGUUUGGUAAAUGGCUCUUUGAUGUCUUUUUGGUUAGCUUUUAGAUUUUGGAUUUUUUAUGUGGUCAAACAGCUAAAAAAUGUGUUUGGUAAUUGACUUUUUAGUCAGCGAAAAAGCUGGCUUUAAAGCUAAAAUGAAAAAGCUACUUUAAGUAGCUUUUUUUUGUUGGCUAUUGGCUUGUUAACCCACAAAUUAUCUAAUAAACAGCCAACAACCAACAAUUAAUUUACCAAACACUUUUAUAAACAGCCAGCUUAAACAGCCAAUUUCAAAAGUCAUUAUAAAUAGCCAAAUAUUCCAGCUGGUCAAACAAGCCAAGUGAACCAGCCAACAGCCAACCGCCAAUAGCCAUUUGUCAAACAAGGCCAAUAUUGAUACUUAUGUUAAAAAGGUUUAACCACGACUCUUUUGAUCUAACCUCCGUUCCUCAAUUAAAUAUAUGUUCGUGUGCUGAAUCUGAUGCUCACAGUUUCCAGUCAACUUUACUAUUCUCCUGUUUCAUUAUGAUGGACGAACAAGUGAAUGGGAUGAAUUUGAGUGGUCAAAGCGCGCUAUCCAUGUUAGUGCCCAGAAACAAACGAAAUGGUGGUAUGCUAAACGAUUUCUGCACCCUAAUGUUGUAGCUGCAUACGAUUACAUAUUUAUAUGGGAUGAAGAUCAUGGGGUUGAACACUUUGAUGCAGAAGUCUAAGCUGUUUAUAACAUCGAAAUUCUAAGUUAUGUACUUUCUUUCAUUUGACUUAUCUAGACCAGAUUAAUUUAAGUUACCCUUUAAUG